Molecule: ribosomal RNA, 560 nt
Filed under: uncultured bacterium
Lineage: Bacteria
Description: bacterial SSU rRNA
Rfam family: Bacterial small subunit ribosomal RNA
Source: RNAcentral
AUACGGGAGGCAGCAGUGGGGAAUCUUAGACAAUGGGCGCAAGCCUGAUCUAGCCAUGCCGCGUGAGUGAUGAAGGCCCUAGGGUCGUAAAGCUCUUUCGCCAGGGAUGAUAAUGACAGUACCUGGUAAAGAAACCCCGGCUAACUCCGUGCCAGCAGCCGCGGUAAUACGGAGGGGGUUAGCGUUGUUCGGAAUUACUGGGCGUAAAGCGUACGUAGGCGGAUUAGUCAGUCAGAGGUGAAAUCCCAGGGCUCAACCCUGGAACUGCCUUUGAUACUGCUAGUCUUGAGUUCGAGAGAGGUGAGUGGAAUUCCAAGUGUAGAGGUGAAAUUCGUAGAUAUUUGGAGGAACACCAGUGGCGAAGGCGGCUCACUGGCUCGAUACUGACGCUGAGGUACGAAAGUGUGGGGAGCAAACAGGAUUAGAUACCCUGGUAGUCCACACCGUAAACGAUGAAUGCCAGACGUCAGCAAGUAUACUUGUUGGUGUCACACCUAACGGAUUAAGCAUUCCGCCUGGGGAGUACGGUCGCAAGAUUAAAACUUAAAGGAAUUGACGGA